GGGAAGGUGGCUCAGUGGUAGAGCGCUUGCAUUGUAUGCAUUAGGCCCUAGGUUCCAUUCCUCCGUACCA
Non-coding RNA from Dipodomys ordii (Ord's kangaroo rat), 70 nucleotides. Lineage: Eukaryota; Metazoa; Chordata; Mammalia; Rodentia; Heteromyidae. The record is from Rfam.